This 460-nucleotide ribosomal RNA is filed under the name uncultured bacterium. Its description in RNAcentral is "partial 16S ribosomal RNA". It matches the Rfam family "Bacterial small subunit ribosomal RNA", at positions 338 to 795 of the family's 1533-position model. The record is from RNAcentral.
CCUACGGGUGGCAGCAGUGAGGAAUAUUGGUCAAUGGGCGAGAGCCUGAACCAGCCAAGUCGCGUGAGGGAAGACGGUCCUACGGGUUGUAAACUUCUUUUAUAAAGGAAUAAAGUGAGGCACGUGUGCCUUUUUGUAUGUACUUUAUGAAUAAGGAUCGGCUAACUCCGUGCCAGCAGCCGCGGUAAUACGGAGGAUCCGAGCGUUAUCCGGAUUUAUUGGGUUUAAAGGGAGCGUAGAUGGGUUGUUAAGUCAGUUGUGAAAGUUUGCGGCUCAACCGUAAAAUUGCAAUUGAUACUGGCAGCCUUGAGUACAGUUGAGGUAGGCGGAAUUCGUGGUGUAGCGGUGAAAUGCUUAGAUAUCACGAAGAACUCCGAUUGCGAAGGCAGCUUACUAAACUGCCACUGACAUUGAUGCUCGAAAGUGUGGGUAUCAAACAGGAUUAGAUACCCCUGUAGUC